This 655-nucleotide ribosomal RNA is filed under the name uncultured bacterium. Its description in RNAcentral is "bacterial SSU rRNA". It matches the Rfam family "Bacterial small subunit ribosomal RNA", at positions 232 to 885 of the family's 1533-position model. The record is from RNAcentral.
CGCGGCCUAUCAGCUUGUUGGUGGGGUGAUGGCCUACCAAGGCUACGACGGGUAGCUGGUCUGAGAGGAUGGCCAGCCACAUUGGGACUGAGAAACGGCCCAGACUCCUACGGGAGGCAGCAGUGGGGAAUCUUGCGCAAUGGCCGAAAGGCUGACGCAGCGACGCCGCGUGUGGGAGGACGCCCUUCGGGGUGUAAACCACUGUUGCCCGGGACGAACAUCCUUUUUCGAAAGGACUGACGGUACCGGGUGAGGAAGCACCGGCUAACUCCGUGCCAGCAGCCGCGGUAAUACGGAGGGUGCGAGCGUUGUCCGGAAUCACUGGGCGUAAAGGGCGCGUAGGUGGCCCGUGGAAGUCUGCGGUGAAAGCCCGGCGCUCAACGCCGGGUCGGCCGUGGAUACUCUCGGGCUUGAGCUCACUAGAGGCAGAUGGAAUUCCGGGUGUAGCGGUGGAAUGCGUAGAGAUCCGGCAGAAGACCGGUGGCGAAGGCGGCCAGCUGGGCAGUGACUGACACUGAGGCGCGACAGCGUGGGGAGCAAACAGGAUUAGAUACCCUGGUAGUCCACGCCGUAAACGAUGGGUACUAGGUGCUUGGGGGAGCGACCCCCUGAGUGCCGGCGCUAACGCAGGAAGUACCCCGCCUGGGGAGUACGG